Molecule: ribosomal RNA, 247 nt
Filed under: uncultured archaeon
Lineage: Archaea
Description: partial 16S ribosomal RNA
Rfam family: Archaeal small subunit ribosomal RNA
Source: RNAcentral
CCGACGGUGAGGGAUGAAAGCUGGGGGAGCAAACCGGAUUAGAUACCCGGGUAGUCCCAGCUGUAAACGAUGCGCGUUAGGUGUGUCAGUGACCACGUGUCACUGAUGUGCCGAAGGGAAACCGUGAAACGCGCCGCCUGGGGAGUACGGUCGCAAGGCUGAAACUUAAAGGAAUUGGCGGGGGAGCACCACAACGGGUGGAGCCUGCAGUUUAAUCGGACUCAACGCCGGAAAUCUCACCGGAUAA